CUGCUGUUAUACAGAAAGAAAAGAUAUAGGAGUGGAAAGCCUAUAUUAUGACGGUACUGUAUCAGAAAGUGACGGCAAACUAUGUGCCAGCAGCCGCGGUAAUACAUAGGUCACAAGCGUUAUCCGAAAUUAUUGGGCGUAAAGCGUCCGUAGGUUGUUUGUUAAGUCUGGAGUUAAAGACCGGUGCUCAACGCCGGCACGCUUUAGAUACUGGCAAACUAGAGUUAUAAAGAGGUAAGUGGAAUUUCAUGUGAAGCGGUGGAAUGCGUAGAUAUAUGAAAGAACACCAAUGGCGAAGGCAGCUUACUGGUUAUAUACUGACACUGAGGGACGAAAGCGCGGGGAGCAAACAGGAUUAGAUACCCUGGUAGUCCACGCCGUAAACGAUGAUCAUUAGUUGGUGGGGGAACCCUCGCUAACGCAGCUAACGCAUUAAAUGAUCCGCCUGAGUAGUAUGCUCGCAAGAGUGAAACUUAAAGGAAUUGACGGGGACCCGCACAAGCGGUGGAGCAUGUGGUUUAAUUUGACGAUACGCGUAGAACCUUACCCACUCUUGACAUCCCUUGCAAAGCUAUAGAGAUAUAGUGGAGGUUAACAAGGUGACAGAUGGUGCAUGGUUGUCGUCAGCUCGUGUCGUGAGAUGUUCGGUUAAGUCCUGCAACGAGCGCAACCCCUAUCCUUAUUUACUAACAUUAAGUUGAGAACUAUACGGAUACUGCUCAGGUAACUGGGAGGAAGGUGGGGAUGACGUCAAAUCAUCAUGCCUCUUACGAGUGGGGCAACACACGUGCUACAAUGGCCGGUACAAAGAGACGCAAUAUGGUGACAUGGAGCAAAUCUGAAAAACCGGUCUCAGUUCGGAUUGAAGGCUGCAAUUCGCCUUCAUGAAGUCGGAAUCGCUAGUAAUCGUAGAUCAGCUACGCUACGGUGAAUACGUUCUCGGGUCUUGUACACACCGCCCGUCACACCAUGGGAGCCGGUAAUGCCCAAAGUC
RNAcentral lists this ribosomal RNA (994 nucleotides) under Mycoplasma sp. Tm20_2. Its description in RNAcentral is "bacterial SSU rRNA". It matches the Rfam family "Bacterial small subunit ribosomal RNA", at positions 430 to 1428 of the family's 1533-position model. The record is from RNAcentral. Lineage: Bacteria; Bacillati; Mycoplasmatota; Mollicutes; Mycoplasmatales; Mycoplasmataceae.